CUUCGCAGAAGUGAACUGGUUUUUACAGAAAUUUUACAAAAUUUCAAGUGGGAAAGACUGGAAACUCUUCUUUCUGGCAAUCGUUUCGCUCUUCUUCUUGUCAUUUAUAGGGAGUUGUUUUAGCCCUUUGAAUCUUAUAUUCAUCGUUAUUUUCGGCAUGCAAGUAUCACUACCUUUGUAUGAAAGAUAUGAAAUGGCAGUGGAUAAUUUUGCUCUGCAAGGCUACCAUGAGGUGAAGAAAUUGUGCACAGAAUUUGUUUCCACAGUUCUUGACAAGAUCCCAA
RNA transcript from Ziziphus jujuba (common jujube), 284 nucleotides. RefSeq lists it as uncharacterized. NCBI's taxonomy places the organism in Eukaryota, Viridiplantae, Streptophyta, Magnoliopsida, Rosales, Rhamnaceae. The transcript has 3 exons. The record is from RefSeq and is a predicted model, not a curated record.